Molecule: ribosomal RNA, 465 nt
Filed under: uncultured bacterium
Lineage: Bacteria
Description: partial 16S ribosomal RNA
Rfam family: Bacterial small subunit ribosomal RNA
Source: RNAcentral
GACGAACGCUGGCGGCGUGCUUAACACAUGCAAGUCGAACGGAAAGGCCCUGCUUGCCGGGUACUCGAGUGGCGAACGGGUGAGUAACACGUGGGUGAUCUGCCCUGCACUUCGGGAUAAGCCUGGGAAACUGGGUCUAAUACCGGAUAGGAGCCAUUUUUAGUGUGAUGGUUGGAAAGUUUUUUCGGUGUAGGAUGAGCUCGCGGCCUAUUAGCUUGUUGGUGGGGUAAUGGCCUACCAAGGCGGCGACGGGUAGCCGGCCUGAGAGGGUGGACGGCCACAUUGGGACUGAGAUACGGCCCAGACUCCUACGGGAGGCAGAAGUGGGGAAUAUUGCACAAUGGGCGCAAGCCUGAUGCAGCGACGCCGCGUGGGGGAUGACGGCCUUCGGGUUGUAAACUCCUUUCGCUAGGGACGAAGCUUUUUGUGACGGUACCUAGAGAAGAAGCACCGGCUAACUACGUG